Molecule: transfer RNA, 72 nt
Filed under: Ovis aries (sheep)
Lineage: Eukaryota; Metazoa; Chordata; Mammalia; Artiodactyla; Bovidae
Rfam family: tRNA
About the family: Transfer RNA (tRNA) molecules are approximately 80 nucleotides in length. Their secondary structure includes four short double-helical elements and three loops (D, anti-codon, and T loops). Further hydrogen bonds mediate the characteristic L-shaped molecular structure. tRNAs have two regions of fundamental functional importance: the anti-codon, which is responsible for specific mRNA codon recognition, and the 3' end, to which the tRNAs corresponding amino acid is attached (by aminoacyl-tRNA synthetases). tRNAs cope with the degeneracy of the genetic code in two manners: having more than one tRNA (with a specific anti-codon) for a particular amino acid; and 'wobble' base-pairing, i.e. permitting non-standard base-pairing at the 3rd anti-codon position.
Source: Rfam by way of RNAcentral
UCCCUGGUGACUUACACGUUAAAGAAUCUGCCUGAAAUGCAGGAGACCCGGGUCCAACCCCUGGCUCAGGAA